Long non-coding RNA from Alnus glutinosa, 1746 nucleotides. RefSeq lists it as uncharacterized. The transcript is spliced from 3 exons. Lineage: Eukaryota; Viridiplantae; Streptophyta; Magnoliopsida; Fagales; Betulaceae. The record is from RefSeq and is a predicted model, not a curated record.
UAGUGGUUGCUGUUCCCCGACAGAAGACUAAACGGGAUUUGGGUUGGAAAACGACUUUCUGGUGUGUUUUUUCGGCAAAGGCUCUGACCUGAUUUUCUUUGUUUGGGUUUCUUUCUUUGAUGUUAAAUCUGUUCACUUCGGCUGAUUCUUCCAAGACCACAGUGGUCGUCGGCUUCUUCCGGUCUAGCAGCCUCCAGCCACAGCUGUGUCUGUCCUUCAUGCUCAACGCGUGGCCUACACGCGCCAAGGAAGUCUCUCCUUGGCCUAGCGCGUGUGGGUCACGGCUUGUCUUCCUGGGCGAGGUAGGGGUUUUUCGAUGGAUCCGAGGUCUUCUGGCGGAUUUCUGCUGCUGAGGAGGUCUCCAGUACACGCGCCGUCGUUGGCGACGGCGCCACCCGACACCGGUCUCAAUUUGUACUUCUAUUUUAAGAACGUCCAAAAUUGGGAAUCAUCUUCUGAUACCCUCCUGCUCCGCCCUGCUUUCUCCCUCCUCCUCGCCCUAUCUGCCCCGCGUCUCUCUCACCUCCUCCCCGUGGCCAACCGUUACCCAAUCCCUCUCACACGCAAACCUCUCACUUUUCUCCACCUCUUCCUCUCCCGACAUUUUUCCUCUCGUUGAUAAGUCGAGUUCGACUUGCUCUCCUAUGAUUCCGCCGCCGAGUAGGCAACCGAGUCGGAGCUUCUAAAUGUAAGGCUUGGUGGUGAAGUUAUACAUGCAGGGACUAUCCAAUGUUACUGUCAAACAAUCAAAGAUUCCAUUCUUCCGGUUCGCGCACGCGAGAUCGUGCCGUUAUUUCGAUGCUCAAGGGUGUGCUACCCACCUACUUAACCUACUCAAGGUCCGAAUGCAGCUCCAGGGUGAAACCCAGGCCCCUAUCCCGAAACUGGCAGUCCAAAAUCUACGCCCGGCUCUCGCCAUCCAUGCCACCUCACUCUCCGCUCUGGGGUCCAUCCACUUGCCCACUCCAACAGCCUCAGGUGGCGCGUGCAGGCCUACUCUCCGUCGGCAUCCGUCUGGUCCAGCUAUAAGGUGUGGCCUCGUUGUUCUCGGGCAUCUCCGCCAAACUCUGUGAUUGUAGUCCACCACCCGAAUGAGUCUCUACGACAUCCUCAAGAAGUGGACAAAUCUGAACUCCGGCAACCUGUCGCUCGCGCGCAAGAUAGUGACUGGGCUCGUACAACAACAGGUGUUGAGAAUGCUCUUGGGUUUUAACGAGUGGUGGAUAGUCGAUGGACAGUGGACACAGAAAGGGAUGGGUAUUUUCGCAAGACGGGUAUUUUCACAAGUUCAUCUCACUAGAGACCAGGAGAUGGGAAUGGAGACCGAAGGAGUACAGUGGACACGAGAGGGAGGGGUAUUUUCGUCCAUUUCAAUAUUUCAUUAAACUCAAAUGAGCUUGCGUCCCAUUAAGUAGCUGUUUGCUACGUGGCAAAUUUAAAACCUUAAGAUUUCUUUUGAAAGCAUCCUCACCAUUAACCGGCUCCUCUCCAGUUCAAGUAAACUGGAGAGGAUUCGGAUCCUCUCACAUCAGCCGAAUAAUGUUGCUAUUCCUAUCAUCAUUACCUUUUGUGAGAGCAUCUCAUCGAGUUUGGCUUGCCUCCAGUGAAAAAUUCACAGGAGAUUCUCCGGUGAAAAAAUAAACAGGGGAGAUGACCUCCAGUAAAAAAAAAAAAAAAAUCACUAUAGUUCUCUCCCAAUUAUUCCAUCUCCACCAUUUUUUUUUUUCACUAGAGAGGCAAGCCAAA